RNAcentral lists this long non-coding RNA (662 nucleotides) under Rattus norvegicus (Norway rat). RNAcentral describes it as "long non-coding RNA NONRATT020808". Lineage: Eukaryota; Metazoa; Chordata; Mammalia; Rodentia; Muridae. The record is from RNAcentral.
CCUGCAGCGACAACUUAAAGACCGGAAUGUUCGGACCCGCCAGGGGUGCUUCAACCUCUUUACCGAGCUGGCAGGCGUCCUCCCUGGCUGCCUGGCAGAGCACAUGACUGUCUUGGUGUCAGGCAUUGUCUUUUCACUGGCUGACUACUCCAGCUCCUCCACCAUACGGAUGGAUGCCCUGGCCUUCCUACAGGGCCUUCUGGGUACACAGCCCCAGUGUCAAAGCUGGGCCCAUUAACUCAGGACAUUCAUGAGGGUGAUGUCCCACCACCUUUACACUGCACCCCUCCACUCACUUAAAAGCCAGCAUUGAUUGCCCUGUGCAUAAGACCGGAAGACAAGCAGGGGGUUGACUUCCUACUUCACUUGCUCUGGCCUCCAAAUGUCAAUUAGCACCCUGGGCCUGGCCAUGGGUAGGGUAUGUAGAACCCAUGCAAGCUCUAGGUCUUGGCACAAGAGAACCAAUUUAUACUGAAUGCCUCACUAAUUAGAGUAAAAACUGUUUACAGGGAAGAUGGUAUGGAUCAUUGGACUGUCCACUGUUUUAAACAUCCCUAUUCUCAUGGCCCAGGCAUGUAACAGUGUUGGUUUGUGCUCUUCCCAUGUGUGUAGUUGUUAGUACUGAAAAUUUAAGUAUAAAUAACAGUCCAGGGUUUCGAUUU